Molecule: ribosomal RNA, 653 nt
Filed under: uncultured bacterium
Lineage: Bacteria
Description: bacterial SSU rRNA
Rfam family: Bacterial small subunit ribosomal RNA
Source: RNAcentral
GUCGAGCGGUAGCACAGGGAGCUUGCUCCUGGGUGACGAGCGGCGGACGGGUGAGUAAUGUCUGGGAAACUGCCUGAUGGAGGGGGAUAACUACUGGAAACGGUAGCUAAUACCGCAUAACGUCUACGGACCAAAGUGGGGGACCUUCGGGCCUCAUGCCAUCAGAUGUGCCCAGAUGGGAUUAGCUAGUAGGUGGGGUAAUGGCUCACCUAGGCGACGAUCCCUAGCUGGUCUGAGAGGAUGACCAGCCACACUGGAACUGAGACACGGUCCAGACUCCUACGGGAGGCAGCAGUGGGGAAUAUUGCACAAUGGGCGCAAGCCUGAUGCAGCCAUGCCGCGUGUGUGAAGAAGGCCUUCGGGUUGUAAAGCACUUUCAGCGAGGAGGAAGGGUNCNGUGUUAAUAGCACNNUNCAUUGACGUUACUCGCAGAAGAAGCACCGGCUAACUCCGUGCCAGCAGCCGCGGUAAUACGGAGGGUGCAAGCGUUAAUCGGAAUUACUGGGCGUAAAGCGCACGCAGGCGGUUUGUUAAGUCAGAUGUGAAAUCCCCGCGCUUAACGUGGGAACUGCAUUUGAAACUGGCAAGCUAGAGUCUUGUAGAGGGGGGUAGAAUUCCAGGUGUAGCGGUGAAAUGCGUAGAGAUCUGGAGGA